UGAGUCCAGAUCGAAUGGAGCCUCUUGGUUCGACUCUGGGGCUGCUCGCAGCCCGAGCGUGGUUCGUAAUGCUUCUCACGCAGUGUGCAUUUGCAUAAGGACAGUUGAUCGUGAUAUCGAGAACAAAACAGCGUGCUUAAGGCUGGAUCAGUAGAUGACAAAGCUUGCUAUAUCAAUGAACCGACCGGUUAUGUGCGGUUUGCAGGUUUCUGCAUGUUAUAGCGGGGAGUCUGAGCUUGUUGGCGUUGGGAAUGUACCCAUCGGUUCACCUCGGUGACCGUGGGACCACAGACCCAAUCAGCUACUCGUUUCAACGAUAUUAACAGGGACCGAUGGAGCAGUCCGUAUUGUCAGACGAGGGGUGAAAUCCUUAGACUCUGACAAGACGAACAAGGGCGAAAGCACUCUGCUAAGAGGCCUUCAUUAAUCAAGAACGAGAGUGCAGGGAUCGAAGAUGAUCAGAUACCGUCGUAGUCUGCUACUGUAAACGAUGCAAACUAGGGAUCGGUUGAUGGGACAACAUGAUUCUGUUGACUCGGUUGGUACCUCCGCUUCUCUCUUAACGCGAAAGCUGCAAGUCUUCGUGUUCAGGGGGGAGUACAGUUGCAAGGCUGAAACUUAAAGGAAUUGACGGAAUGACACCACAAGGCGUGGAUGCUGCGGCUUAAUUUGACUCAACACAGAGAAUGUUACCAGAUCAUGAGGUUUGGAGGAUUGACAGAUUGACAGUUCUUUCUUGAUUCAGUUAAUGGUGGUGCAUGGCCGCUCCUGGUUGGUGGAGUGAUUUGUCUGGUUGAUUCCGUUAACGAACGAGAUCCCACCCCUUCGAUUUCAGUUAUAUCGUACGUAAUCAUUGGACGCUAGCUCAUGUGGUUCGUCCGUUGGUGAGAUCUAAGAUGUAUGCAAGGGGACUAUGUGUGUUGAUAACACAUUGAAGUCUGGGCCAAUAGCAGGUCUGUGAUGCUCCUAGAUGUUCUGGGCUGCACGCGGCAUACAAUGGUGAAAGCAGUAGGAUUGGUUCGGUCGAGCUCCUGUUUCGAAAGUAUUGGGAAAUCCCCUCAGAUUUGACUGUGGCUGGGAUAGACAAUUGCAACUGUUUGUCUUGAACUAGGAAUGCCUUGUAAGCACAUCUCAUUACAGUGUAUUGAAUGCAUCCCUGCCCUUUGUACACACCGCCC
RNAcentral lists this ribosomal RNA (1178 nucleotides) under uncultured euglenozoan. Its description in RNAcentral is "bacterial SSU rRNA". It matches the Rfam family "Eukaryotic small subunit ribosomal RNA", at positions 635 to 1674 of the family's 1831-position model. The record is from RNAcentral. Lineage: Eukaryota; Euglenozoa.